RNAcentral lists this ribosomal RNA (534 nucleotides) under uncultured Cenococcum. RNAcentral's name for it is "eukaryotic LSU rRNA". The stretch from base 171 to 324 matches the Rfam family "5.8S ribosomal RNA". Lineage: Eukaryota; Fungi; Ascomycota; Dothideomycetes; Gloniales; Gloniaceae. The record is from RNAcentral.
UCCGUAGGUGAACCUGCGGAAGGAUCAUUACAGAAAGUAAACGCGGAUCGAACCGCGAACUUCUAAACCUUUGACGAUUGACUCAUGUUGCCUCGGCGGGUUCUCCCGCCAGAGGAUACAUCAAAACUCCUGUUUUAACGGUGUUGUCUGAGCUACAAGCAACGAAUCAAAACUUUCAACAACGGAUCUCUUGGUUCUGGCAUCGAUGAAGAACGCAGCGAAAUGCGAUAAGUAGUGUGAAUUGCAGAAUUCAGUGAAUCAUCGAAUCUUUGAACGCACAUUGCGCCCCUUGGUAUCCCGAGGGGCAUGCCUGUUCGAGCGUCAUUUCACCACUCAAGCCUGGCUUGGUGUUGGGCGACGUCCCCUUUGGGGACGCGCCUCGAAACGCUCGGCGGCGUGGCACCGGCUUUAAGCGUAGCAGAAUCUUUCGCUUUAAAAGUCGAGGCCCCGUCUGCCGGAAGACCUACUCGCAAGGUUGACCUCGGAUCAGGCAGGGAUACCCGCUGAACUUAAGCAUAUCAAUAAGCGGAGGAA